CAACCCUCAGACCCUUAGUUGUCUGGUGUUGGGGCAUCUACAGCGAUGUAGGCCCCGAAAAACAGUGGCGGUGCUCGCCAGCACUCCGGGCGCAGUAGUUUAUUUCUCGCCUAGGAUGUCUGGCAGGCUACCGGCCUUAAAACCCCCUAAAUUUUAAAA
Molecule: unclassified non-coding RNA, 159 nt
Filed under: uncultured Sordariales
Lineage: Eukaryota; Fungi; Ascomycota; Sordariomycetes; Sordariales
Description: sequence contains ITS2
Source: RNAcentral